CCCCUCUCUCUCUCUCUCUCUCUCUCUCUUCACCAAGCUCAAAGAAAAAGAAAAAAAGAGAGAAAAGUUACUAAUUACUCUGAGCACUGAAUGGGACACUUAUGAGUAAUAUGAUUGGAGGCCAGCAGUUCAUCCCCUAGUCGGGGAUGCUAAUAUGCUUUCCUAUCAGUCAUGCUUGAAACUCUGAUUUCCUGUUAAUGCUUAGCAUCAGGAAAUUGGAUUGUUUAACUACAUCUAAUUUGUUUGCUGAAACUGCUUACGUACUUUGUUAAUUUCUCUCUUCACCUGUAAUAGUCAAAAUGUCAUGCCUAAACAGAGUAACAACAACAACAACAACAACCCAGUAUAUAAUCCCACUAGUGCUUUCACAAUAUCAUUUUAGCAUGUUGUGUCUUGUCCCGAUCCUACUUGAUAUUUUGAAUGCUUUGGUAUCAUCUGGAGAUUUUCAUAAUCAAAUCUGUUUGAGAAGCCAAUCCUCUGUAAUUACAGAGGCGCGGGAAUUAAGUGACUGUCAUUCAGUUCCUAUCUCUAGAAUCUGGAUGCAUGCUAUGAUUACCUCUUAAUUCUACAAAAUAUCGUUGUUUGAUUCCUUAUUCUGCCUUUCUACCUUCACAAGGUAGGGAUAAGGUCUAUGUACACAUUACCCUUCUCAGACCCCUCUUGUCGGAUUACACUGAGUUUGUUGUUGAUUAUUCCUUAUUCUACACGGUAAGAUAUGAAUGACGAGAGUCAGUUUUAUAAGGAAGAGAAACAAAACAAAGUAUGAUAGUAAAAAAGGUUAUAGUGUGCAAUUCUCUGUGUCUGCCUCAUAGAAUGCUAUUAUUGACACCAAGCAGAAGAAAUUACCUGUUUAGACUACUCUGUAGUGCUCUAUGAUUCUACUUAUUUCAAAGUUUCUUCUUAUCUUUUUUUCCAUUCUACAACUAUGUGAUUAUGUAUGUGAUGCUGUUAGUUGUCUAUAUCAUCGGACAUGCUAUUUUUUUGUCAUGGUGUUGAACAACAGAUCAGUAACAACCUCUCUACCUUCUCAUAACAGGGGUAAGGCUGCGUACACCCUAUAUUCAUUUGCAUCGCAUGACUACUCCCCGUGGUAAAUCGAAAGGCAUAUAAUUGCCUGAUAUUGACUUUUUCGGAGAACAUAGUCCGUGAAAAUUAAAAUAUAAACGUAAUUCUGGUUGUCAAGGUGUUUGUUGCAGCAUAGAGAAUAUGAUAUAGAAGUUGAUUUGAUCCAUAUAAUUUGUUUGAUUGAUUGGAAGUUUGGAACUGCUU
Molecule: non-coding RNA, 1269 nt
Organism: Nicotiana tabacum (common tobacco)
Lineage: Eukaryota; Viridiplantae; Streptophyta; Magnoliopsida; Solanales; Solanaceae
Source: RefSeq, a predicted model, not a curated record